This 404-nucleotide ribosomal RNA is filed under the name uncultured bacterium. RNAcentral describes it as "bacterial SSU rRNA". It matches the Rfam family "Bacterial small subunit ribosomal RNA", at positions 355 to 776 of the family's 1533-position model. The record is from RNAcentral.
UAAGGAAUCUUCCACAAUGGACGAAAGUCUGAUGGAGCAACACCGCGUGCAGGAUGACGGUCUUCGGAUUGUAAACUGCUUUUAUAUGGGAAGAUUAUGACGGUACCAUAUGAAUAAGCACCGGCUAACUACGUGCCAGCAGCCGCGGUAAUACGUAGGGUGCAAGCGUUAUCCGGAAUCACUGGGCGUAAAGCGUGCGUAGGCGGAAGUUUAAGUGCAAUGUUAAAUCGUGUGGCUCAACCAUAUCGAUGCAUCGCAUACUGGGCUUCUAGAGGACGGCAGAGGCAAGUGGAAUUGGUAGUGUAGCAGUGAAAUGCGUAGAUAUUACCAGGAACACCAAUGGCGAAGGCAGCUUGCUGGGCCGCCCCUGACGCUGAGGCACGAAAGCGUGGGGAGCGAACAGG